Molecule: ribosomal RNA, 265 nt
Filed under: uncultured archaeon
Lineage: Archaea
Description: partial 16S ribosomal RNA
Rfam family: Archaeal small subunit ribosomal RNA
Source: RNAcentral
ACACGUCUACAUUAGAUACCCGGGUAGUCCCAGCCCUAAACGAUGCGCGUUAGGUGUAUCGGUGACCACGAGUCACCGAGGUGCCGAAGGGAAACCGUGAAACGUGCCGCCUGGGAAGUACGGUCGCAAGGCUGAAACUUAAAGGAAUUGGCGGGGGAGCACCACAACGGGUGGAGCUUGCGGUUUAAUUGGAUUCAACGCCGGAAAUCUUACCGGGACCGACAGCAACAUGAAGGCCAGGCUGAAGACUUUGCCGGAUUAGCUG